UGCACGGCACUGGGGACACGU
Molecule: microRNA, 21 nt
Filed under: Homo sapiens (human)
Lineage: Eukaryota; Metazoa; Chordata; Mammalia; Primates; Hominidae
Description: hsa-miR-3177-3p
Source: miRBase by way of RNAcentral